GACGAACGCUGGCGGCGUGCUUAACACAUGCAAGUCGAACGGAAAGGCCCUGCUUUUGUGGGGUGCUCGAGUGGCGAACGGGUGAGUAACACGUGAGUAACCUGCCCUUGACUUUGGGAUAACUUCAGGAAACUGGGGCUAAUACCGGAUAGGAGCUCCUGCUGCAUGGUGGGGGUUGGAAAGUUUCGGCGGUUGGGGAUGGACUCGCGGGUUAUCAGGUGGUUGGUUGGGUAGUGGGUUACCAAGGCUGUGAAGGGUAGCCGGCUGGUGAGGGUGAAGGGCCAGAUGGGAAGGGAGUGAGGCCCCGCCCUCCCUCGGACGGCAAGAGGGGGGAGGAUAUAACAAGGGGCGGAAGCAUGCUUCAUCAACGCCGGUCGCGGGAGGAAGGACUUCGGUUGGUAAACCACUUUCUCUUGUGCGGAAUGGUAAUGACCGUAACGGGAGAAUGAGCCCCGGCUAACUUCGUG
Molecule: ribosomal RNA, 467 nt
Filed under: uncultured bacterium
Lineage: Bacteria
Description: partial 16S ribosomal RNA
Rfam family: Bacterial small subunit ribosomal RNA
Source: RNAcentral